UGGGCGAGCUGCUGGAGAAAAAAAGGCGAUCCUGAAGAGUUCGUCGCAUGCGAAACUAUGAUUGAACACAGGAUGAGCUGCAAAAAGACGGAGCCGAAGCGCCGACUUGGAAGAGCGAUUGAAUUGAUCUGUCCCA
Long non-coding RNA from Cucurbita maxima (winter squash), 136 nucleotides. RefSeq lists it as uncharacterized. Lineage: Eukaryota; Viridiplantae; Streptophyta; Magnoliopsida; Cucurbitales; Cucurbitaceae. The transcript is spliced from 2 exons. The record is from RefSeq and is a predicted model, not a curated record.